AACCUCUCCAGUGGCCUAGUGGUUAGAUCGUCUGCCUUGGAUGCAGGAGGUCGUGGGUUUGAUCCUUAGUUGAGUCA
Potamilus streckersoni is the source of this 77-nucleotide non-coding RNA. NCBI's taxonomy places the organism in Eukaryota, Metazoa, Mollusca, Bivalvia, Unionida, Unionidae. The record is from the annotation of a GenBank genome assembly.